UUUCCGUUGGAGGGGUACUGCGGAGGGAUCAUUACUGAGUUUACGCUCUACAACCCUUUGUGAACAUACCUAUAACUGUUGCUUCGGCGGGUAGGGUCUCCGUGACCCUCCCGGCCUCCCGCCCCCGGGCGGGUCGGCGCCCGCCGGAGGAUAACCAAACUCUGAUUUAACGACGUUUCUUCUGAGUGGUACAAGCAAAUAAUCAAAACUUUUAACAACGGAUCUCUUGGUUCUGGCAUCGAUGAAGAACGCAGCGAAAUGCGAUAAGUAAUGUGAAUUGCAGAAUUCAGUGAAUCAUCGAAUCUUUGAACGCACAUUGCGCCCGCCAGCAUUCUGGCGGGCAUGCCUGUUCGAGCGUCAUUUCAACCCUCAAGCUCUGCUUGGUGUUGGGGCCCUACGGCUGACGUAGGCCCUCAAAGGUAGUGGCGGACCCUCCCGGAGCCUCCUUUGCGUAGUAACUUUACGUCUCGCACUGGGAUCCGGAGGGACUCUUGCCGUAAAACCCCCAAUUUUCCAAAGGUUGACCUCGGAUCAGGUAGGAAUACCCGCUGAACUUAAGCAUAUC
This 565-nucleotide ribosomal RNA is filed under the name Colletotrichum gloeosporioides. RNAcentral describes it as "eukaryotic LSU rRNA". The stretch from base 207 to 360 matches the Rfam family "5.8S ribosomal RNA". The record is from RNAcentral. Lineage: Eukaryota; Fungi; Ascomycota; Sordariomycetes; Glomerellales; Glomerellaceae.